Molecule: long non-coding RNA, 593 nt
Organism: Gorilla gorilla gorilla (western lowland gorilla)
Lineage: Eukaryota; Metazoa; Chordata; Mammalia; Primates; Hominidae
Exons: 4
Source: RefSeq, a predicted model, not a curated record
AGUUUCUGGUAUUAAGGGUGUGAAUAAGUAAGAAAGAAAAUACAAUCUAGAUUUGUUUUUAAUGAGAUGGAUGCAGUUUUUACUUCUUCCCUAGUAGAAUAUCAGAGGGAGACAGAACUGAGAGCCACGAAAUGAGGCCUCAAGCCCGGAAUAACAAUAAUUGUGUUAUGUUGUCUACUCCAGACUCACUGCCUCCCAUUCCAGGAUCCAUACUGCUAUUUUCAUAACACUCUAAAUGAUUUCACAUCUAUUCCUGGGUAUGGCAUCUCCAUACCAAUCUGAAAACAUAAGAGAGCUCGAAGAAAAGCAUAGACUCAGAUGCAAUAAUCACUUGGGUUCUCUGAGUGAACAGCCUUGGGUAGCCACCAUCCAGAGCAGUGGAGACAUCACCAGUCCCAGAAGUCCCUGAUGUCCCUUCCAGUCACGACUCUGUCCCCUCGCCUAGGGUCUCACUAUGUUACCCAAGCAGCUGGUCUUGAACUCCUGGACUCAAGCGAUCCCCUGGCCUCGGCCUCCCAAAGUAUUGGGAUUACAGACGUGAGCCACCGUGCCUGGACCAAUUUGUUUCUUUAUGUCAAAACUGUUUCUGUUGA